Trachymyrmex septentrionalis is the source of this 666-nucleotide long non-coding RNA. RefSeq lists it as uncharacterized. The record is from RefSeq and is a predicted model, not a curated record. The transcript is spliced from 3 exons. NCBI's taxonomy places the organism in Eukaryota, Metazoa, Arthropoda, Insecta, Hymenoptera, Formicidae.
UACAUGCGGAACGCCCAUUUCAGUUUUUCUUCCGGCGUGCCGCUGGACGUUACGUCAAUCGCCAAUAGGAAUUCCUGCAACAAAAGCCGAUGGUAUCCUGUAUCAGUAACGUUGUCACAGCUGCGCGAUAUCAAAACUUUUAUUUCUUCGCUACAAAAGAAUCUCCCUUUUGUGUGAAACGAAAAUCUAUUUCCCAAAAUGUAGCUAUGAUACGCAUUGAAGGGAGAACCGACUUCAAGAUGCCAUAAUUCAAGCAGCUUUGCCAAAGCUAUGGAAAAUAUUUAUCCACUUGAAAUACAACGAUUCGAGAAGAAAUCAGCUAAGCUCGUCUUAACAUCAAAGAUGCAGCUUACCCGCGAAGCUCGCGAAAGAACCCGUGGAAAAGCCCUGACAUUACCGGAGAAACGACGACCGAUACCAGGGAAAGAAAACAUCUUUGUGAUGCCAUUAACUGUGGCCUUACAGACACCACGCUCGUGAGAAUGGACGCGAGGCGAAUAUAUGAGAUUGGAGCGAAGUGGUUUUCCCGAGGCAGAGCGUGACGUGGAUAUGGAAAAAGUUACAGUACUUUGAAAAUCCCCACAUCGUUUACGUUAAGCUAAGAAAGUGAAGGCACAGGAAAGAACGUGGGUUCUCACAAUUUUUGGCAUUAAUUUGAUUUGUAUG